This is a long non-coding RNA of Hibiscus syriacus, 207 nucleotides long. RefSeq lists it as uncharacterized. Lineage: Eukaryota; Viridiplantae; Streptophyta; Magnoliopsida; Malvales; Malvaceae. The transcript has 3 exons. The record is from RefSeq and is a predicted model, not a curated record.
ACUAAUGUUGUAGUUAGAUGUCACCAAUGUUCGUGAACUUGAAGAUUUUCUUAUCAAUGAGUGCAUGUAUGCGGGUAUAGUCAGAGGAAAGUUGGAUCAGCUGCGAAGAUGUUUUGAGAUCCAAUUUGCUGCUGGGAGGGAUUUGAGACCAGGACAACUUGGGAGUAUGAUAGAAACACUGUCGAACUGGUAACAUCUCUGGUUCAA